RNAcentral lists this ribosomal RNA (433 nucleotides) under uncultured bacterium. RNAcentral's name for it is "partial 16S ribosomal RNA". It matches the Rfam family "Bacterial small subunit ribosomal RNA", at positions 29 to 507 of the family's 1533-position model. The record is from RNAcentral.
AACGAACGCUGGCGGCAGGCUUAACACAUGCAAGUCGAACGCACCUUUCGGGGUGAGUGGCUGACGGGUGAGUAACGCGUGGGAAUCUACCCUUCUCUACGGGAUAGCUCCGGGAAAUGGGAAGUAAUACCGUAUACGUCCGGAGGGGGAAAGAUUGAUCGGGGGAGGAUGGGCCCGCGUGGGAUUAGCUAGUUGGUGGGGUAAAGGCCUACCAAGGCGACGAUCCAUAGCUGGUCUAAGAGGAUGAUCAGCCACACUGGGACUGAGACACGGCCCAGACUCCUACGGGAGGCAGCAGUGGGGAAUAUUGGACGAUGGGCGCAAGCCUGAUCCAGCCAUGCCGCGUGAGUGAUGAAGGCCCUAGGGUUGUAAAGCUCUUUCAGUGGGGACGAUAAUGACGGUACCCACAGAAGAAGCCCCGGCUAACUUCGUG